GACGAACGCUGGUGGCGUGCCUAAUACAUGCAAGUAGAACGCAGUUGCGAACGGGUGAGUAACGCGUAGGUAACUGCCCCAUAGCGGGGGAUAACUCUUGGAAACGAUAGCUAAUACCGCAUACUGUGAGCUGGACAUGGGUUGGAUUAGCUAGUUGGUGAGGGAAAGGCUCACCAAGGGGAAGGUACAUAACCGACCUGAGAGGGUGGUCGGCCAACCUUGGACUGGGGCACGGGCCAGAAUCCUACGGGAGGGAGCAGUAGGGAAUCUUCGGCAAUGGGCGGAAAUCUGGCCGAGGCACGCCGCGUGGUAGAAGAAGGUUCUCCGGGUGUAAAGCUCUGUUGUUAGAGAAGCGGUACCUAAAGAAAAAGGGACGGCUAACUACGUGCCAGCAGCCGCGGUAAUAC
Molecule: ribosomal RNA, 407 nt
Filed under: uncultured bacterium
Lineage: Bacteria
Description: partial 16S ribosomal RNA
Rfam family: Bacterial small subunit ribosomal RNA
Source: RNAcentral